Molecule: ribosomal RNA, 443 nt
Filed under: uncultured bacterium
Lineage: Bacteria
Description: SSU rRNA
Rfam family: Bacterial small subunit ribosomal RNA
Source: RNAcentral
AGAACGAACGCUGGCGGCAGGCUUAACACAUGCAAGUCGAGCGCCCAGCAAUGGGAGCGGCGGACGGGUGCGUAACACGUGGGAACAUGCCUUUCGGUACGGAACAACUGCGGGAAACUGCAGCUAAUGCCGUAUACGCCCUUACGGGGAAAGAUUUAUCGCCGAAAGAUUGGCCCGCGUCUGAUUAGCUAGUUGGUGAGGUAACGGCUCACCAAGGCUUCGAUCAGUAGCUGGUUUGAGAGAACGACCAGCCACACUGGGACUGAGACACGGCCCAGACUCCUACGGGAGGCAGCAGUGGGGAAUCUUGGACAAUGGGCGAAAGCCUGAUCCAGCCAUGCCGCGUGAGUGAUGAAGGCCUUCGGGUUGUAAACUCUUUUACCUGGGAAGAUAAUGACUGUACCAGGAGAAUAAGCCCCGGCUAACUUCGUGCCAGCAGCCGC